Molecule: ribosomal RNA, 508 nt
Filed under: uncultured bacterium
Lineage: Bacteria
Description: partial 16S ribosomal RNA
Rfam family: Bacterial small subunit ribosomal RNA
Source: RNAcentral
GAUGAACGCUAGCUACAGGCUUAACACAUGCAAGUCGAGAGGAAACGAUAGAGAAAGCUUGCUUUUUCUAGGCGUCGACCGGCGCACGGGUGAGUAACGCGUAUCCAACCUGCCCACCACUUGGGGAUAACCUUGCGAAAGUAAGACUAAUACCCAAUGAUAUCUCAAGAAGACAUCUGAAUGAGAUUAAAGAUUUAUCGGUGAUGGAUGGGGAUGCGUCUGAUUAGCUUGUUGGCGGGGUAACGGCCCACCAAGGCGACGAUCAGUAGGGGUUCUGAGAGGAAGGUCCCCCACAUUGGAACUGAGACACGGUCCAAACUCCUACGGGAGGCAGCAGUGAGGAAUAUUGGUCAAUGGGCGAGAGCCUGAACCAGCCAAGUAGCGUGCAGGAUGACGGCCCUAUGGGUUGUAAACUGCUUUUAUAAGGGAAUAAAGUGAGUCUCGUGAGACUUUUUGCAUGUACCUUAUGAAUAAGGACCGGCUAAUUCCGUGCCAGCAGCCGCCGUAA